Molecule: ribosomal RNA, 250 nt
Filed under: uncultured bacterium
Lineage: Bacteria
Description: partial 16S ribosomal RNA
Rfam family: Bacterial small subunit ribosomal RNA
Source: RNAcentral
UACGGAGGGUGCAAGCGUUGUUCGGAAUUAUUGGGCGUAAAGCGCGUGUAGGCGGCCUCAUUAGUCCGAUGUGAAAGCCCGGGGCUCAACCCCGGAAGUGCAUUGGAAACUGUAAGGCUUGAGUUCGGGAGAGGAAGGCAGAAUUCCCGGUGUAGGGUUGAAGUCCGUAGAUAUCGAGAGGAAAACCGGUGGCGAAGGCGGCCUUCUGGAACGAAACUGACGCUGAGGCGCGAAAGCGUGGGGAGCAAAC